AGAGUUUGAUCAUGGCUCAGGAUGAACGCUAGCGGCAGGCCUAACACAUGCAAGUCGAGGGGUAACAUAGAAAAGCUUGCUUUUCUGAUGACGACCGGCGAACGGGUGCGUAACGCGUAUACAAUCUGCCUUAUACUGGGGUAUAGCCUUUAGAAAUGAAGAUUAAUCCCCCAUAGCCUCUUUUAAUGGCAUCAUUAUAAGAGUAAAGGUUACGGUAUAAGAUGAGUAUGCGUUCUAUUAGUUUGUUGGUGAGGUAACGGCUCACCAAGACUGCGAUAGAUAGGGGCCCUGAGAGGGGGAUCCCCCACACUGGUACUGAGACACGGACCAGACUCCUACGGGAGGCAGCAGUGAGGAAUAUUGGACAAUGGAGGCAACUCUGAUCCAGCCAUGCCGCGUGCAGGAAGACUGCCCUAUGGGUUGUAAACUGCUUUUAUACAGGAAGAAACCUUGGUACGUGUACCAAGCUGACGGUACUGUAAGAAUAAGGAUCGGCUAACUCCGUGCCAGCAGCCGCGGUAAUACGGAGGAUCCAAGCGUUAUCCGGAAUCAUUGGGUUUAAAGGGUCCGUAGGUGGAUAAUUAAGUCAGAGGUGAAAUCUUGCAGCUCAACUGUAAAAUUGCCUUUGAUACUGGUUAUCUUGAGUCAUUAUGAAGUAGUUAGAAUAUGUAGUGUAGCGGUGAAAUGCAUAGAUAUUACAUAGAAUACCAAUUGCGAAGGCAGAUUACUAAUAAUGUACUGACACUGAUGGACGAAAGCGUGGGUAGCGAACAGGAUUAGAUACCCUGGUAGUCCACGCCGUAAACGAUGGUUACUAGCUGUGUGGACUUCGGUCUGCGUGGCUAAGCGAAAGUGAUAAGUAACCCACCUGGGGAGUACGUUCGCAAGAAUGAAACUCAAAGGAAUUGACGGGGGCCCGCACAAGCGGUGGAGCAUGUGGUUUAAUUCGAUGAUACGCGAGGAACCUUACCAGGGCUUAAAUGUAAGUUGCAUUAGCUAGAGAUAGCUAUUUCUUCGGACCACUUACAAGGUGCUGCAUGGUUGUCGUCAGCUCGUGCCGUGAGGUGUCAGGUUAAGUCCUAUAACGAGCGCAACCCCUGUUGUUAGUUGCCAGCGAGUCAUGUCGGGAACUCUAACAAGACUGCCGGUGCAAACCAUGAGGAAGGUGGGGAUGACGUCAAAUCAUCACGGCCCUUACGUCCUGGGCUACACACGUGCUACAAUGGUCGGUACAGAGAGCAGCCACUGCGCGAGCAGGAGCGAAUCUAUAAAACCGAUCACAGUUCGGAUCGGAGUCUGCAACUCGACUCCGUGAAGCUGGAAUCGCUAGUAAUCGGAUAUCAGCCAUGAUCCGGUGAAUACGUUCCCGGGCCUUGUACACACCGCCCGUAA
Molecule: ribosomal RNA, 1392 nt
Filed under: uncultured bacterium
Lineage: Bacteria
Description: bacterial SSU rRNA
Rfam family: Bacterial small subunit ribosomal RNA
Source: RNAcentral